GACAUCAGGAGGUUAGUGCAAUGGCAUAAGCUGGCUUGACUGCGAGCGUGACGGCGCGAGCAGGUGCGAAAGCAGGUCAUAGUGAUCCGGUGGUUCUGAAUGGAAGGGCCAUCGCUCAACGGAUAAAAGGUACUCCGGGGAUAACAGGCUGAUACCGCCCAAGAGUUCAUAUCGACGGCGGUGUUUGGCACCUCGAUGUCGGCUCAUCACAUCCUGGGGCUGAAGUAGGUCCCAAGGGUAUGGCUGUUCGCCAUUUAAAGUGGUACGCGAGCUGGGUUUAGAACGUCGUGAGACAGUUCGGUCCCUAUCUGCCGUGGGCGCUGGAGAAUUGAGGGGGGCUGCUCCUAGUACGAGAGGACCGGAGUGGACGCAUCACUGGUGUUCGGGUUGUCAUGCCAAUGGCAUUGCCCGGUAGCUAAAUGCGGAAGAGAUAAGUGCUGAAAGCAUCUAAGCACGAAACUUGCCCCGAGAUGAGUUCUCCCUGACUCCUUGAGAGUCCUGAAGGAACGUUGAAGACGACGACGUUGAUAGGCCGGGUGUGUAAGCGCAGCGAUGCGUUGAGCUAACCGGUACUAAUGAACCGUGAGGCUUAACCUU
RNAcentral lists this ribosomal RNA (597 nucleotides) under Klebsiella oxytoca. RNAcentral's name for it is "partial 23S ribosomal RNA". It matches the Rfam family "Bacterial large subunit ribosomal RNA", at positions 2334 to 2925 of the family's 2925-position model. Lineage: Bacteria; Pseudomonadati; Pseudomonadota; Gammaproteobacteria; Enterobacterales; Enterobacteriaceae. The record is from RNAcentral.